AAAAACUAUAAGGAACAGAGGAAAAAAAAACUUUGUUGUUUAGUCCUCCAACACUGAAAUAACUGUUAGACUCAUUAAUCUGAUACAAGACAGCAUGGAAAUGUCCAUAAUGUCUAAACCUAUCUCUAACAGCCCGGGAAGUAUCUGUUUACAUCCCAAAUGGCACCCUAUGCCCUACAUAGUGCACUAUUGAUGACCAAGAGCCCUUAGGGUAGAGCACUAUGAAGGCAAUAGGGUGCCAUUUGGGAUCUGGCGGGACUCACCCCGAGGCAAGGGAGUGAUUAGGCUGAUUUGUAAAGGAAUGUUUUUAAAAGGAGACAAGUAGUCUCUAGUUUUUAAAUCAUGCACCGAGGAGAAAUACAGGGUUGUGAUGGGUUGGAAGGGGGUUAACACAGAGGGGUUGGAAGGGGUAGGGUUAACACAGAGGGGUUGGAAGGGGGUAGGUUUAACCCAGAGGGGUUGGAAGGGGGUUAACCCAGAGGGGUUGGAAGGGGGUUAACCCAGAGGGGUUGGAAGGGGGUUAACCCAGAGGGGUUGGAAGGGGGUUAACCAGAGGGGUUGGAAGGGGG
Molecule: long non-coding RNA, 569 nt
Organism: Oncorhynchus tshawytscha (Chinook salmon)
Lineage: Eukaryota; Metazoa; Chordata; Actinopteri; Salmoniformes; Salmonidae
Source: Ensembl